GAGCGAACGCUGGCGGCAGGCUUAACACAUGCAAGUCGAGCGGGCACUUCGGUGUCCGCGGCAGACGGGUGAGUAACACGUGGGAACGUACCCUUCGGUUCGGAAUAACGCUGGGAAACUAGCGCUAAUACCGGAUACGCCCUUUUGGGGAAAGGUUUACUGCCGAAGGAUCGGCCCGCGUCUGAUUAGCUAGUUGGUGGGGUAAUGGCCUACCAAGGCGACGAUCAGUAGCUGGUCUGAGAGGAUGAUCAGCCACACUGGGACUGAGACACGGCCCACACUCCUACGGGAGGCAGGAGUGGGGAAUAUUGGACAAUGGGCGCAAGCCUGAUCCAGCCAUGCCGCGUGAGUGAUGAAGGCGUUAGGGUUGUAAAGCUCUUUUGUCCGGGACGAUAAUGACGGUACCGGAAGAAUAAGCCCCGGCUAACUUCGUG
Molecule: ribosomal RNA, 434 nt
Filed under: uncultured bacterium
Lineage: Bacteria
Description: partial 16S ribosomal RNA
Rfam family: Bacterial small subunit ribosomal RNA
Source: RNAcentral